GGUGGGGGGAGCCCAGAGAGGGGACGGGAGGCAGCGGAAGGGGAGUUGUGACCUGCCCGGGGCCAGGCUCCAGGUCCUGUCUCUGGGGACAGUGCUGGCUGUGCCAGGAGCUGAUGAGCUCAGGCCUCAGAAACUAGUGGGGAGGCAGCGGUCGCCCCUCCCCAGACCAGGGUCUUUAGAAACCAAGUCCCAUCUCCACGGAGUUCCGGGAGCCCUGUUUCCAUCCUGCAUCCACUGGGGGCCUAAGGGGAGCAGCGGGGCUGGGUCCUGCAGGGCUGCUUUAACUGUGCUGUGUGCUUUUUCCCAAGAUGAAAUCCUAGUCCAAGAGAUUCUGGAACCCAAUAAAUCGACGUCUAAAAUGCCAACGGCAGGAACAACGCUAUCAACAAGAAUAUUCAAGGAAAAAAAAGCCAGCCUCAAGGAGGAGGACGCCCCGUCGGCUGCUUCCGAGGGUCACCGUGUGCUCUCGGCGGUUCUCCCCGUCUCUCUCGGCCCUGAGGACAAGAUGGUCAACAACGGUAAAUGCAGCCAGGCCGGCGCCCGCCCGAGGUCCAAGCUGGCGGGAGGACAAGCAGGGGACGCCUCCCUCUGGGGGGGGGGGGCGCAGGUGACAGGUGACAGCACGGCCUGA
This 631-nucleotide long non-coding RNA is filed under the name Sus scrofa (pig). RNAcentral describes it as "lncRNA (ENSSSCG00025021619.1)". The record is from RNAcentral. Lineage: Eukaryota; Metazoa; Chordata; Mammalia; Artiodactyla; Suidae.